Molecule: ribosomal RNA, 797 nt
Filed under: uncultured bacterium
Lineage: Bacteria
Description: bacterial SSU rRNA
Rfam family: Bacterial small subunit ribosomal RNA
Source: RNAcentral
AGAGUUUGAUCAUGGCUCAGGAUGAACGCUAGCGGCAGGCUUAAUACAUGCAAGUCGAGGGGCAGCAGGUCUGUAGCAAUACAGAUGCUGGCGACCGGCAAACGGGUGCGGAACACGUACACAACCUUCCUUUAAGCGGGGAAUAGCCCGGGGAAACCCGGAUUAAUACCCCAUAGUAUGGUGAAAGGGCAUCUUUUUACUAUUAAAGAUUUAUCACUUGAAGAUGGGUGUGCGGCUGAUUAGCUAGUUGGCGGGGUAACGGCCCACCAAGGCAACGAUCAGUAACUGGUGUGAGAGCACGACCAGUCACACGGGCACUGAGACACGGGCCCGACUCCUACGGGAGGCAGCAGUAAGGAAUAUUGGUCAAUGGACGCAAGUCUGAACCAGCCAUGCCGCGUGGAGGAUGAAGGUCCUCUGGAUUGUAAACUUCUUUUAUCUGGGACGAAAAAAGGGAAUUCUUUCCCGACUGACGGUACCAGAUGAAUAAGCACCGGCUAACUCCGUGCCAGCAGCCGCGGUAAUACGGAGGGUGCAAGCGUUAUCCGGAUUCACUGGGUUUAAAGGGUGCGUAGGUGGGUUGGUAAGUCAGUGGUGAAAUCUCCGAGCUUAACUCGGAAACUGUCAUUGAUACUAUCAGUCUUGAAUACCGUGGAGGUCAGCAGAAUAUGUCAUGUAGCGGUGAAAUGCUUAGAUAUGACAUAGAAUACCGAUUGCGAAGGCAGCUGGCUACACGAAUAUUGACACUCAGGCACGAAAGCGUGGGGAUCAAACAGGAUUAGAUACCCUAGUAGUCC